CGAAACUACAAAGGAAGUUCGACGGGGGCCCGGCACAAGCGGUGGAGCACGUGGUUUAAUUCGAAGCAACGCGAAGAACCUUACCAGCCCUUGACAUACCGGUCGCGGACACAGAGAUGUGUCUUUCAGUUCGGCUGGACCGGAUACAGGUGCUGCAUGGCUGUCGUCAGUUCGUGUCGUGAGAUGUUGGGUUAAGUCCCGCAACGAGCGCAACCCUCGCCCUUAGUUGCCAGCAUUUAGUUGGGCACUCUAAGGGGACUGCCGGUGAUAAGCCGAGAGGAAGGUGGGGAUGACGUCAAGUCCUCAUGGCCCUUACGGGCUGGGCUACACACGUGCUACAAUGGUGGUGACAGUGGGCAGCGAGCACGCGAGUGUGAGCUAAUCUCCAAAAGCCAUCUCAGUUCGGAUUGCACUCUGCAACUCGAGUGCAUGAAGUUGGAAUCGCUAGUAAUCGCGGAUCAGCAUGCCGCGGUGAAUACGUUCCCGGGCCUU
RNAcentral lists this ribosomal RNA (492 nucleotides) under uncultured Ochrobactrum sp. RNAcentral describes it as "bacterial SSU rRNA". It matches the Rfam family "Bacterial small subunit ribosomal RNA", at positions 894 to 1382 of the family's 1533-position model. The record is from RNAcentral. Lineage: Bacteria; Pseudomonadati; Pseudomonadota; Alphaproteobacteria; Hyphomicrobiales; Brucellaceae.